GAGAAGCUUGCUUCUUGGGUGGCGAGUGGCGAACGGGUGAGUAACAUAUCGGAACGUACCGAGUAAUGGGGGAUAACUAAUCGAAAGAUUAGCUAAUACCGCAUAUUCUCUGAGGAGGAAAGCAGGGGACCUUCGGGCCUUGCGUUAUUCGAGCGGCCGAUAUCUGAUUAGCUAGUUGGUGGGGUAAAGGCCUACCAAGGCGACGAUCAGUAGCGGGUCUGAGAGGAUGAUCCGCCACACUGGGACUGAGACACGGCCCAGACUCCUACGGGAGGCAGCAGUGGGGAAUUUUGGACAAUGGGCGCAAGCCUGAUCCAGCCAUGCCGCGUGUCUGAAGAAGGCCUUCGGGUUGUAAAGGACUUUUGUCAGGGAAGAAAAGGCUGUUGCUAAUACCGACAGCUGAUGACG
This 408-nucleotide ribosomal RNA is filed under the name Neisseria flavescens. Its description in RNAcentral is "bacterial SSU rRNA". It matches the Rfam family "Bacterial small subunit ribosomal RNA", at positions 73 to 474 of the family's 1533-position model. Lineage: Bacteria; Pseudomonadati; Pseudomonadota; Betaproteobacteria; Neisseriales; Neisseriaceae. The record is from RNAcentral.